Rhodamnia argentea is the source of this 865-nucleotide long non-coding RNA. RefSeq lists it as uncharacterized. The record is from RefSeq and is a predicted model, not a curated record. NCBI's taxonomy places the organism in Eukaryota, Viridiplantae, Streptophyta, Magnoliopsida, Myrtales, Myrtaceae. The transcript is spliced from 2 exons.
AGAGAUGUCUCCAUCAUGGUUUGUAGAAUCUCAAGAAGGGAUUUUGUGUAGAGGAAGCUUUUGCCAGCGGACAAAAGAGUGAAAGGUCUUCUCUGCAUGGAAUAUAAUGUGUAGAAAGCAUGGGCACUCCUCACACACAUUACAACAGUAUAUCCUAUAGCAUAUGCCUUGUCAUCAAGCACCCUCUCCUAUCUUCUACCCCGAAAAAAAUGGAAAAAAAAAAGAAACCUAGAAAUAAUAAGAGCUUCUCUAGGCCUAUAUAUAUAUAUAUGAAUCUCUCCAAUGGGUCUUUCAAAUAAUACGUUUUGUUAGGAGUUUUGAAAUAUAUUGGGUUCGUAUAAUGUCUGUUCACAUAGGUGAGCGAACUCGUUGUAGGGCUUCUCUCCUUUGGCAGGCAAUCCAUGGAAACAAAACUAAUCGGAAGAACGAUCAAGAAUGACCCGCCAAAGGAGAGUUGCCCUCCAACUACUUCAGCUCUAUCAUUGCCGAAGAAAUGCUUGCAUUUUCAUAAGUAAGCUAAGCAAUUCAGAGCUUAGGGUUCAAAACUCAUAAUUCACACUAUUGGAGAGGAGAUAGUUUUGACGCCGUAGGAAGGCAAGAACCACGAUUGAGAUGAACUUAGAGCGAUUGAUUAUCCCGUUAGCUUUCGCAGUUACAAGGAGUAAUUAUCAUAUAACUUCAUAGCCGAGACUCUGAUGGCUUUUUGGCAGCAAAAACUGAGCGUGCAUACAAGUUGAUGUUUUGAAUUUAUUUGGAGGAAUCAGAAUAAAAAGACCGAUAGUAGUUUAACCCAAGACCCCAUCCAUUGCUUCUAAUUCACCAUUAUUAGGAGUCUAGUUAUAUAGUAGCCCUAAUAUUAUUGUAA